RNAcentral lists this long non-coding RNA (564 nucleotides) under Oncorhynchus mykiss (rainbow trout). RNAcentral's name for it is "lncRNA (ENSOMYG00000056698.1)". Lineage: Eukaryota; Metazoa; Chordata; Actinopteri; Salmoniformes; Salmonidae. The record is from RNAcentral.
AUGUAUUCUGUAUUUCCUGGCACUUUUAUUUAUUUGAGGGGUUGUAUAAUGGACCCCACGUUUCACUUCAACGUCUCGGAGCUCAACUUUGAGGAUGUGUCCUUCGGUGACCCUGUGCUCCAACAGUGUGCAGCGCUACAGCCUGGCUCUAGUGUUGGAUGCACAAGGAGUGGGAGAGGAGGUGCUGGCCCUACCCAUCAAUGCCAGAACCUGCUCCUGUCCUGCAUUGGGGAGGAUGCGGUUGUCCAUGUGAUGACCACAGAGGUGGACUUUGGCACCAUAUCGGUUCUGACCGAUGUCUCCAGAACAUCGCAGCUCUCAAACCAGUCCCUGAUACCAGCCCGCUUUGUGGCACAAAUGGUUCGCAGCAGGUGGCGGGUGGAGCCCAGUGAGGGAGAGGUUCCACCCCAGGGGAAGCUGGAGCUGAGGCUGGUCCCUCACCUAGAUGACAAUCAAUCAAAUGCAUUUAUAAAGCCCUUUUUGCAUCAGCAGAUGUCACAAAGUGCUAUAGAGAAACCUGGCCUAAAACAGCAAGCAAUUUUUUUAUUAUCUUUAUUUAACUAG